RNAcentral lists this long non-coding RNA (259 nucleotides) under Capsicum annuum. RNAcentral's name for it is "long non-coding RNA (CANN_LNC020047)". Lineage: Eukaryota; Viridiplantae; Streptophyta; Magnoliopsida; Solanales; Solanaceae. The record is from RNAcentral.
UCACUUGAUUCUAAUUUUUUUCUUUUGUUGACUCUUUUCUCUUUGGAUUUUUCUGACUCUAUUUGUCUUGACACUUUUUUUCUUUUUGGACAUAUUUUUUUUUUUUUUUAACUUUUUCUGAAUAUAUUGUUUUGCUCGACACUUUUCUUUUGAUCUUUGCUGACUAUAUUGAUUCCAAAAGAGGGGUAUGAAAUAAAAUAGGACUGAAGCUCAAAUGGGGUAAACAAAGGAUGACACGAUGUUUGGAUAGCAGAAUGAA